This 253-nucleotide ribosomal RNA is filed under the name uncultured bacterium. Its description in RNAcentral is "partial 16S ribosomal RNA". It matches the Rfam family "Bacterial small subunit ribosomal RNA", at positions 524 to 776 of the family's 1533-position model. The record is from RNAcentral.
UACGGAGAUGGCAACCGUUGUUCGGAAUCACUGGGCUUAAAGAGUACGUAGGCGGAUAUGUAAGUUGAUUGUGAAAGCCCAUGGCUUACCCAUGGAAUAGCAUUCAAAACUGCAUGUCUUGAGUACAGAAGGGGAGAGUGGAACUCCUAGUGGAGCGGUGAAAUGCGUUGAUAUUAGGAGGAACGCCGGUGGCGAAAGCGACUCUCUGGUCUGAAACUGACGCUGAGGUACGAAAGCUAGGGGAGCAAACGGG